RNAcentral lists this ribosomal RNA (168 nucleotides) under uncultured Bacillus sp. RNAcentral's name for it is "partial 16S ribosomal RNA". It matches the Rfam family "Bacterial small subunit ribosomal RNA", at positions 359 to 523 of the family's 1533-position model. Lineage: Bacteria; Bacillati; Bacillota; Bacilli; Caryophanales; Bacillaceae. The record is from RNAcentral.
GAAUUUGGAAGGGCGAAGUCUGACGGAGCAACGCCGCGUGAUGUGAGAAGGUUUUCGGAUCGUAAAGCUCCCUUGUUAGGGAAGAACAAGUGCCGUUCGAAUUGGGUGGGACCUUGACGGUACCUAACCAAAAAGCCACGGUUAACUCCGUGCCAGCAGCCGCGGUAA